GUCGAACGGGAAGAGAUGAAGAGCUUGCUCUUUAUCAAUCCAGUGGCAAACGGGUGAGUAACACGUAAACAACCUGCCUUCAGGAUGGGGACAACAGACGGAAACGACUGCUAAUACCGAAUACGUUCCACGGGCCGCAUGACCUGUGGAAGAAAGGGUAGCCUCUACCUGUAAGCUAUCGCCUGAAGAGGGGUUUGCGUCUGAUUAGGCAGUUGGUGGGGUAACGGCCCACCAAACCAACGAUCAGUAGCCGGUCUGAGAGGAUGAACGGCCACACUGGAACUGAGACACGGUCCAGACUCCUACGGGAGGCAGCAGUGGGGAAUCUUCCGCAAUGGACGAAAGUCUGACGGAGCAACGCCGCGUGAGUGAAGACGGCCUUCGGGUUGUAAAGCUCUGUGAUCCGGGACGAAAGAGCCUAAGGUAAAUAGCCUAAGGAAGUGACGGUACCGGAAAAGCAAGCCACGGCUAACUACGUGCCAGCAGCCGCGGUAAUACGUAGGUGGCAAGCGUUGUCCGGAAUUAUUGGGCGUAAAGCGCGCGCAGGCGGCUUCCUAAGUCCAUCUUAAAAGUGCGGGGCUUAACCCCGUGAUGGGAUGGAAACUGGGAAGCUGGAGUAUCGGAGAGGAAAGUGGAAUUCCUAGUGUAGCGGUAAAAUGCGUAGAGAUUAGGAAGAACACCGGUGGCGAAGGCGACUUUCUGGACGAAAACUGACGCUGAGGCGCGAAAGCGUGGGGAGCAAACAGGAUUAGAUACCCUGGUAGUCCACGCCGUAAACGAUGGAUACUAGGUGUAGGAGGUAUCGACCCCUUCU
Molecule: ribosomal RNA, 814 nt
Filed under: uncultured bacterium
Lineage: Bacteria
Description: bacterial SSU rRNA
Rfam family: Bacterial small subunit ribosomal RNA
Source: RNAcentral